RNAcentral lists this long non-coding RNA (793 nucleotides) under Olea europaea (common olive). RNAcentral's name for it is "long non-coding RNA (OEUR_LNC004177)". Lineage: Eukaryota; Viridiplantae; Streptophyta; Magnoliopsida; Lamiales; Oleaceae. The record is from RNAcentral.
UGAAAAAUCAUUGGGUCGCAAUCAAAUCCCACACCAAUAACCAUUCUCUCAAAUAUUAGCAGAACCUAAUUGCACACUCGUGCAAUACAUAAAGAAAUUGAGUUACAUAAUUGAGAUUGGAUGCUGACCCACUUCACGAAGAGGAAAAUCAAGGAAUGCACGCUACACACUUUUAAGUGAAAACUCCUAGAAAGUUGGGGGGAAAACAAAGGUUGGACUCAAAAUCAGAAAUUAAAUGGACGCUACACACAAAUGCAAAACUUACAAAGAAAUUAAACCCAAUUGGAGAAGUGAGAACAACUAAGCAAUAAAAGAAAUUUUCUUUCUUUAAAAAAAAAAAAAUAUAUACAUACAAUCCAAAAUUCCUAUUUCACAAUUAAAUCACUGCACAAUAAGAAAUCGGCAGCUUACAGAAAAGAUUCAAAACCCUUCUGCAAUCUGUCGGCACGAGGUGAGCAACCUGUUCACUCUUCCUGCAAUCUUCACGGUGAAUGAAAACCUAUUCCCACAAUUAGGAUUUUGUUUGCCAAGGAUGAAGGAAAUGACAAUCGCAGGAAUAGUAAGAAAUUGGGCAAACCUUGAAGAUGACUUGUAGGACUCAAAUCCACUUAACUUUGAGCAAGCGUUUAGAAAAAUGCCCAAAAUUUGAUGAAAUUAGAGAGUUUUAUCGGCGAGAGGCAAUGGAUUUGAUGCGGUGGCAGAGAAAGAUAAAGGAAAAGAAAGGGUUAAAGUGAUGGGAGAUGGGAGUGCAUGUGAAAAAUUGGACAGACAGUUAAUUAUAAGCAGGCUGAAC